AUUGAACGCUGGCGGCAGGCUUAACACAUGCAAGUCGAGCGGGGUGAUGGUGCUUGCACUAUCACUUAGCGGCGGACGGGUGAGUAAUGCUUAGGAAUCUGCCUAUUAGUGGGGGACAACAUCUCGAAAGGGAUGCUAAUACCGCAUACGUCCUACGGGAGAAAGCAGGGGAUCACUUGUGACCUUGCGCUAAUAGAUGAGCCUAAGUCGGAUUAGCUAGUUGGUGGGGUAAAGGCCUACCAAGGCGACGAUCUGUAGCGGGUCUGAGAGGAUGAUCCGCAACACUGGGACUGAGACACGGCCCAGACUCCUACGGGAGGCAGCAGUGGGGAAUAUUGGACAAUGGGGGGAACGCUGAUCCAGCCAUGCCGCGUGUGUGAAGAAGGCCUUAUGGUUGUAAAGCACUUUAAGCGAGGAGGAGGCUCUUUUGGUUAAUACCCAAGAUGAGUGGACGUUACUCGCAGAAUAAGCACCGGCUAACUCUGUGCCAGCAGCCGCGGUAA
Molecule: ribosomal RNA, 503 nt
Filed under: uncultured bacterium
Lineage: Bacteria
Description: partial 16S ribosomal RNA
Rfam family: Bacterial small subunit ribosomal RNA
Source: RNAcentral